AGGAUGGCCGAGCGGUCUAA
This 20-nucleotide non-coding RNA is filed under the name Mus musculus (house mouse). Lineage: Eukaryota; Metazoa; Chordata; Mammalia; Rodentia; Muridae. The record is from RNAcentral.